CCAUCUCCCAUGCUGUGAGCUGCUGGCCUUCCUUUUGCAUGCUCUGACUGUCACUAGAAAACUGCAAGAGAACACAGUCACGUGAUCCAGGAGGCAAUCUGUCCAGGAAGUAUGGACUCCAGAAACCUACAACGAGCUCCACACCUUCUUAUCCAGGUGGCAUAGUGCCUCUACUCACUCUGUUAAGCUGUGGUUUAUAGGGCAAGCUUUGUGGGUUUGCAAGAGUCCUUGGAUGCCUUGGGAAAUGUUCUGCAAAAGCGAGCUUUCUCUCCAUGUGUUCUGCACUCCAGCCACCAGGUCCUGAAAUCUCUGUGCACAGGAUUUCCCCUAUUAAAAUGGAG
This is a long non-coding RNA of Gallus gallus (chicken), 341 nucleotides long. The record is from Ensembl. Lineage: Eukaryota; Metazoa; Chordata; Aves; Galliformes; Phasianidae.